RNAcentral lists this ribosomal RNA (497 nucleotides) under uncultured bacterium. RNAcentral's name for it is "partial 16S ribosomal RNA". It matches the Rfam family "Bacterial small subunit ribosomal RNA", at positions 28 to 507 of the family's 1533-position model. The record is from RNAcentral.
GAUGAACGCUGGCGGCGUGCCUAAUACAUGCCAGUCGAGCGAACAGACGAGGAGCUUGCUCCUUCGACGUUAGCGGCGGACGGGUGAGUAACACGUAGGUAACCUACCUAUAAGACUGGGAUAACUUCGGGAAACCGGAGCUAAUACCGGAUAAUAUUUCGAACCGCAUGGUUCGAUAGUGAAAGAUGGCUUUGCUAUCACUUAUAGAUGGACCUGCGCCGUAUUAGCUAGUUGGUAAGGUAACGGCUUACCAAGGCAACGAUACGUAGCCGGCCUGAGAGGGUGAUCGGCCACACUGGAACUGAGACACGGUCCAGACUCCUACGGGAGGCAGCAGUAGGGAAUCUUCCGCAAUGGGCGAAAGCCUGACGGAGCAACGCCGCGUGAGUGAUGAAGGUCUUCGGAUCGUAAAACUCUGUUAUUAGGGAAGAACAAACGUGUAAGUAACUGUGCACGUCUUGACGGUACCUAAUCAGAAAGCCACGGCUAACUACGUG